RNAcentral lists this transfer RNA (73 nucleotides) under Ixodes scapularis (black-legged tick). It matches the Rfam family "tRNA". From Rfam's summary of the family: Transfer RNA (tRNA) molecules are approximately 80 nucleotides in length. Their secondary structure includes four short double-helical elements and three loops (D, anti-codon, and T loops). The record is from Rfam by way of RNAcentral. Lineage: Eukaryota; Metazoa; Arthropoda; Arachnida; Ixodida; Ixodidae.
CCCUAGUUGGCUCAGUGGGUAGAGCGCUCCAAUGGAAAUGGAAAGGUCCCUGCAUCAUUACCAGGACCAGGCA